GACGAACGCUGGCGGCGUGCUUAACACAUGCAAGUCGAACGGAAAGGCCCUGCUUUUGUGGGGUGCUCGAGUGGCGAACGGGUGAGUAACACGUGAGUAACCUGCCCUUGACUUUGGGAUAACUUCAGGAAACUGGGGCUAAUACCGUAUAGGAUCUCCUGCUGCAUGGUGGGGGUUGGAAAGUUUCGGCGGUUGGGGAUGGACUCGCGGCUUAUCAGCUUGUUGGUGGGGUAGUGGCUUACCAAGGCUUUGACGGGUAGCCGGCCUGAGAGGGUGACCGGCCACAUUGGGACUGAGAUACGGCCCAGACUGCUACGGGAGGCAGCAGUGGGGAAUAUUGCACAAUGGGCGGAAGCCUGAUGCAGCAACGCCGCGUGCGGGAUGACGGCCUUCGGGUUGUAAACCGCUUUCGCCUGUGACGAAGCGUGAGUGACGGUAAUGGGUAAAGAAGCACCGGCUAACUACGUG
This 468-nucleotide ribosomal RNA is filed under the name uncultured bacterium. Its description in RNAcentral is "partial 16S ribosomal RNA". It matches the Rfam family "Bacterial small subunit ribosomal RNA", at positions 28 to 507 of the family's 1533-position model. The record is from RNAcentral.